CUUGUUAGGACGCAACCCAAUGAAUAAAUUUUCUUUUUUCUUUUUUCUGUUCUUGUGUGUUUACACAAUUAUGCUACUGGUAUGAUUGUGUUUUUUGUGUUUUAGUUAGUGUUUGUGCCAAGUAAAGCCUAUAGGAUCUUCUUGGAUGAUAGUUGUUUGAUCUUGCUGAAAAAGACAGAAACUUUGUGCUCACAAAAAUAAUUUUAAUAAAUCACAGAAAAGAGUUUUUGCCCUGAUUGUUUUUGCAGAAUAUUAAUAUACAAAUUACCCUGGUCGUACUAGUUUGGUAGAUAUUUUGGAGUUCCAGAAGUAUUAGCCAAAGUCAGAUUACUACAGACUGUUCUGUUUUGACAGAUUCUAUUUUCUUUGUGUUGUGUGCUUAUUUUGAUGGCUCUAUGGUUUUCUUUGAUGAGUUUUUGCCAUACAAAAGUUUGAAUACAGUAGAUAUAAUAAAAAACAAAAUAAGAAUUGGUUUGAUACUGCACUUAUAGUAGUUUUUUGCUUUCUUAUACUAACGGGUCUCACAAAGGUUCUGUUGAGUUUUGUGUGAUUGAAGUUUUCAAGUUUUGGGUUAUCUUACGAUGGAUGAAGGAAGGAUGUAAGAGCCUAAGCUUGGGGAUGCCCCGGCAUCCCAAGCUAUUAUCCAAGAUUGAGAAACCAACUAAGCUUGGGGAUGCCCCCGAGUGGCAUCCCCGCUUUCUUCCAACAACUAUCGGUAUUUUACUCGAGGCUAUAUUUUUGUUCGUCACAUGAUAUGUGUUUUCCUCGGAGCGUCUUGUACGAUAUGUUCUCUGCUUGUUUUAUUUUGUGUUUUAAUUCAUCAAUCCUUGCUGGGCACACUUAUUUGAGAGAGCCAAAAUUAUAUCAUGACUUGUUAAAAUUGCUCUCUAUGCUUCACUUAAAUCUUUUAUGAGCUUGGACUUGCUCUAGUGCUUCACUUAUAUCUUUUUGAGCAUGGUGUGCUUUGUUAUUUUUGAAGAAAUGCUCUCCUGCUUCCGUUAGAUUUAUUUGAGAGUUAGUAAAAUUUUGAAGAAAUUCUCUCUUGCUUCACUUAAAUUAUUUUGAGAGAAAGAAAAUUUGUCAUGCUCAUGAUCUUCACUUAUAUUUGUUUGUGCUUAUGAAAAGCAACACAUGAAAAUUAGUCCCAAAGUGAUAGAUAUCCAAGAAGGAUAAAGAAAAGAAAAUGUCAUGAAGAUCAUUGGACAAAAUAAACUUGAUUCUUAGUAAUAGUUUUGAGAUAUGAUGAUGUGAUAUGUGAGUUAUGUUGAUGAGUAAUUGUCCUCUAGAAAGAAUAUUGGUGUUAAGGUUUGUGAUUUCCUAUGCAUGCACGAAAGUCAAUAAUCAUGCAAUGAAAAUUAUAUCCUACUUGUGGUGAAUUAUUCGGUGUUUAUUAUCCUUAAUGCUUGCUUAUGAGAUUAUUCGUUUCUUGGUUGGUCGCUUCUCAAUCUUUUUGCAAGCCUUCAUUUUGCACCAAUUAUGACCUCUACUUGUGCAUCCAAAAUUCUUUUAACCAGUUUUGCCACAUGAGUCCACUAUAUCUACCUAUUUGUGGUAUUCUUUUGCCGUUCUAAGAAAAUUUUUAUGUGCCAUCUCUAACUUUCAAAAUAAACUUCUCUUUUGUGUAUUUGUUUCGCUCGCGGAACGGUAACUGGUGGCUAAUAUUUUCCAUGCUAGAUGUGUUACUCUCAAGACGAGUGUUUAUUCACUUGUCAUUGCACGAGCGUAACGCAAAGGUCUUAGGGAUGCCCAGUCCCGAAAUGCAAAAAAAUAUUUACUUUAUGUUGUCAAAUAAUAAAUUCCUUGGAAAGUGUUGGUAUGGAGGGCACCCGUGGAUAAGGCUAGCCAUGGAAAGUGAAAGAAUGGUGGAAAAAGGAAUAACCUUUAUUUUCUGUUUGGGAACCGCCUAUGGCAUAUCUAGCAUGGAAAGUAUUCGUAGCUCCGAGUCAUUUUCAUUGGUGGGAUGGAUACACCUCCCAAAAUGUUUUUAUAUCUAUUUUUUUCGCUUUGAGCUCUGGCACCUCUACAAAUCCCUACUUCCAUCUAUGAUGGGCAUUUCUUUUACUUUAUGCAAUUUUUAUUUUUCGAAUUUGAGUCUCCAUCUUCUCUUACAAAAGCACCAACUAGGAGGCAAUAUGAUCGUGCUCAAGUAUUGGGUGUUGUUAAUAUUCGAGUGUGUUUCAUGAAUGGAUCUAUGUUUGAGCAUGAUGGGCUAGGGAUAAGUUAUUUUAGCAUCGAUAUUUUGAAAGACAUGGUUGCUUGUUGAUAUGCUUGAGUAUCAAAAUUAUUAUGUCAAAACUAGACUAUUGCUUUGAAUCACAUAAAAGUCCGAAUGUCCAUCCUAUAAAGAAAAGAAUGUGAUAUGACUUGAUGAACAGCACUCGACAUCAAAAAUUCUGUUUUUAUCACUUGCCUACUCGAGGAUGAGUAGGAGUUAACCUUGGGGAUGCUGAUAUGUCCCCAACGUAUCUAUAAUUUUUGAUUGUUCCAUGCCGUUUUAUUAUCAAUCUUGGAUGUUUUAUAAUCAUUUUAUAGUCAUUUUAUAUCAUUUUUGGGACUAAGCUAUUGACAUAGUGCCAAGUGCCAGUAUUUUUUCCAUGUUUUUUACAUCGCAGGAAAUCAAUAUCAAACGGAGUCCAAAUGCCACGAAACUCCACGAUGAUUUUUAUGGGCUAGAAGGAAGGUAAUGGGCCCUGGUUGCACCUGGGGGUGCCCCGUCGGGGGCACAACCCACCAGGGCCUGCAAGUAGGCCCAGGCGAGCCCUGGUGGGUUGUGCCCACCUCGGGUGCCCCCCGGACCGCCUCUUAGCUCCAUAAAUACCCCCAAAAUCCACAAACCCUAGGGGAGUCGACGAAAUAUUCAUCCAGACGCUGCGGAUACAGAACCACCAGAUCCAAUCUAGACACCAGCACAGAGGGGUUCACCACUUCCAUUGGUGCCUCUCCGAUGAUGCGUGAGUAGUUAUUUGUAGACCAUCGGGUCUGUAGUUAGUAGGUAGAUGGCUUUCUAUCUCUCGCUGAAUUCUUAAUACAAUUGUCUCUUGGAGAUCCAUAUGAUGUAACUCUUUUUGCGUGUGUUUGUUGGAAUCUGAUGAACUUCGAGUUUAUGAUCAGUUAUAUCUUUUUAUAUCCAUGAAAGUUAUUUGACUUUCUUUGAUCUCUUAUAUGCAUGAUAUCUUAGAGCCUCGUAUUUCUUCUCCGAUAUUUGGGUUUUGUUUGGCCAACUUGAUCUAUUUAUCUUGCAAUGGGAAGAGGUGCCCGGUAGUGGGUUCGAUCUUAUGGUGCAUUAUCCCAGUGACAGAAAGGGAACCGACACGUAUGUAUCGCUGCUAGUAAGGAUAAAAAGACGAGAUCUAUGGCUACCGCCAUAUAGAUAAACGGAUCUUGUCUACAUCAUGUCAUCGUUCUUAUUGCAUUACUCCAUUUUUCCAUGAACUUAAUACACUAGAUGCAUGCUGGAUAGCGGUCGAUGUGUUUAGUAAUAGUAGUAGAUGCAGGCAGGAGUUGGUCUACUAAUCUUGGACGUGAUGCCUAUGUAAUGAUCAUUGCCUGGAUAUCGUUAUGAUUAUUUGAAGUUCUAUCAAUUGCCCAACAGUAAUUUGUUUACCCACCGUUUGCUAUUUUUCUCGAGAGAACCCACUAGUGAAACCUACAGCCCCCGGGACUUUUUUCUCAUAUAUUUGCCUUGCGAUCAACUUUUCCUUUGCGUUUUAUUCAGAUCUAUUAAACCAAAAAUACAAAAAUAGCUUGCUGCACUUUAUUUUAUUUGCGAUCUAUUAUUUCAAUCUAUUAUAAUUUUCUCCCAUUUUCGUGCCUUCUGGCGCUGUUAUCCGGAAGGGAUUGACAACCCCAUUAACACGUUGGGUUGCGAGUGGUUGUUAUUUGUGUGCAGGGGUUGUUUACAUUGUGUUGCUUGGUUCUCCUACUGGUUCGAUACCUUGGUUUCAUUACUAAGGGAAAUACCUACCGUUGAUGUGCUACAUCAUCCUCUCCUCUUGGGGAAACACCGACGUAGUCUUAGCAAACAUCAUCAAGGGAAUUUCUGGCGCCGUUCCCGGGAGGAUCUUCAACAUAACCAGGUUCCAAAUCACCAAUCUCAUCUCCUCGCAAUUUAAAUUAUUUUCCAUUUGCCUCUCGUUUUCUUCUCCCCCGCUUCACAAAAAUUUGCUGUUUUAUUCGUCUCUCUUUCUCCGUUCGCCGUUUUCUUGUCAGAUCUAUUCUCUACUUGCAAUCAUGAGUGAUUUCGGUAUGGCACCAACAGAUGAUGGCUUGACUCCUAAGAUUGGACGUACAGGCAAUCUGGAUGCUAAAACUUUUAUCCUGGGGCAAGGGAACGUUAUGGGAAAAGAAUGUAUCCAAGAAUUUUUCAAUUGUGUUGGAAAUCUGAGUCUUGAUGAUGACCCUAUACUUAAAACUACUAGAUCUUAUGCGGAUGCUAUUUCAGCACUAGUUCUGAAACUUGAAAGUAAAUUUGUCCGCACUCAUCCUACUUUGCAAAUAUUGUUUUUUGAGCUUCCCAAAAUAAAGAAUCCUAGAGCCAAAAAGUUGGCCACUCUCGUUCUUAUGAACGAGUUUGACUACAUAAUUCGGGAAGCUAGGGAAAUCUUUGAUUUUUAUGGUAUGAAUCGUGAAAAACCCAUCAUAGAUGAAAUUCUUUACAAUAGUGACUAUGCACUAAGGCAUUUGCUUGGGGAUAAUAAGAUCUUUGGUAAGAAUCUUAAAAAGGAGGUCAUCGUUCUAGAAAUAAUCCAACAAGUGUUUAAUAAUGUUAAUCAACACUAUUCUUGGAUUGUUGCGGGAAAUCAAAGGGGUUGUGAUGAAAACCAACUAAGGAAUGCUGAAGUUUCUAUGGAUAAGAUGUUUUAUGUUGUUUUUACAAAACCUCCUGAUAAAAAUACCCCCAAGGAAAACAAGAAGAACAAGGAUGACAAAACUUAGAUCCUUGCCUUACGCCUAGCUAAGGGCGUAAAACUAUAGCGCUUGUUGGGAGGAAACCCAAUGAAUAAAUUUUAUUUUUGCUUUUAGCUUUCUGUUCUUGUGUGUUUACACAAUUAUGCUACUGGUAUGAUUGUACUUUUUGUGUUUAGUUAGUCUUUGUGCCUAGUAAAGCCUAUAUGAUCUUCUUGGAUGGUAGUUGUUUGAUCUUGAUGAAAAAGACAGAAACUUUGUGCUCACGAAAAUAAUUUUAAUAAAUCACAGAAAAGAGUUUUUGCCCUGAUUGUUUUUGCAGAAUAUUAAUAUACAAAUUACCCUGGUCUUACUAGUUUGGUAGAUAUUUUGGAGUUCCAGACGUAUUCGCCAAAGUCAGAUUACUACAGACUGUUCUGUUUUGACAGAUUCUGUUUUCUUUGUGUCGUGUGCUUAUUUUGAUGGCUCUAUGGUUUUCUUUGAUGAGUUUUUGCCAUACAAAAGUUGGAAUACAGUAGAUAUAAUAAAAAACAAAAUAAGAAUUGGUUUGAUACUGCACUUAUAGUAGUUGUUUGCUUUCUUAUACUAACGGGUCUCACAAAGGUUCUGUUGAGUUUUGUGUGAUUGAAGUUUUCAAGUUUUGGGUUAUCUUACGAUGGAUGAAGGAAGGAUGUAAGAGCCUAAGCUUGGGGAUGCCCCGG
This 5606-nucleotide long non-coding RNA is filed under the name Triticum aestivum (bread wheat). Its description in RNAcentral is "long non-coding RNA (TAES_LNC004396)". Lineage: Eukaryota; Viridiplantae; Streptophyta; Magnoliopsida; Poales; Poaceae. The record is from RNAcentral.